RNAcentral lists this non-coding RNA (2044 nucleotides) under Pan troglodytes (chimpanzee). The record is from RNAcentral. Lineage: Eukaryota; Metazoa; Chordata; Mammalia; Primates; Hominidae.
AUUAACAUCUUGUCUGCAUCCCACAACAGGCAGAUGGCCCUGUGCAGGGCUGAGCUGAAAGAGGUGACCAGGGCCUCCUCGCACCUUGCCCACCAGAGUGAGCCUGGCCUGCAGCUCCCUGCACUCCCGCUGCAAGGCAGCAAUCUGCUUGUCCUUGGCCAGCAGUGCACUGGCUGUCUCACUGAGGUCCCGGGCUCGCUGGCGGGCUAGGGCCUUCCGACACAACUCCAAGCUGGUCCCCGGCCGGGGCAAGGGGGCACUCACCUAGCCAGAGGAGGGGUUGGCUGAACUCUUCCCCACCCACAAAGGAGGCUGCAGAAGGCGCCAGGGCUGCUGGAGCUGGAGCCAGGGCCUCCUGCCCCCAACAGGAUUCCUCACAUCCCAGGACCAGCUGGAAAAGGUGGUGAGAGUUGGAAAGAGACUGCUCAGUGAGGACUGCCCUGCGAACCAGCUUGGAUUCAUCCCGUUCACCUCCACGUUCUGCACGCGGGGCCGAGGGAAGGGAGGCAGCCCAGGCAGCUAGAGAACUUGAUGAAACACACUCAAUCUGAAUCUCGCUUGAUCGUCAUGCUGACCCAGUGAGGGUCAGGCAUCCUUUCCGACUACUCGCUCAGCAGCGGAUCCCCACCCGCCUCUGACUCCCAGUGUCUUUCGGCUCCAACGUAAGUUCACCGAACGUCUAAGAGCUGAGGAUUCAAAGGCAUGUUAAGACCGCCCCUGCCCUCAGCUGCAAGACCUGUCCGCGAUCCUACGAGCCCCAUUCCGCCCUCUUUCCCCGACCUUGGUCCCCCAUGGGCCCUACAACCAGGUCCCCGACUGACACCUUGACCAGCGAACACAGCAAACAGGCCCGCAGAUGCCGCAGGUCCUUCGGCACCGUCUCCAGGGCCAUCUUCGCCGAUGGGAAGAACAACAGGGAGCUAGACGACCACAGCCUGUGCACCCGCAGGAAGUAAAUAGCUCGUUACCCAGAAUGCCCACCACUUCCGGCGCUUAGACUUCCUCUUCCGGUGUGGGCGGGCGCCAGCUCCGCCCCUACCCCCGCCAGAGGAGAUGGUUUCUCCCACCGGCAGGCGGGGAGGCUGGGCGGCCGGCCGCCACCUGGGCCGGGGCGCGUCGCAGCCACCUGAGCCCGCCGAGGGCGCGGCGGAGGCUGUGUAGGGUAGUCAGCGGGCCCCCGGGGCGGGGGGGCGGCUGCGCUUGCGCGGGAGUGUGUCGGGCUGAGCCGCAGCGCCGAGACGCGGGCUGUUUGAUCUGGGCUGGUGGCCCUGGGCGCCGGUCCUGUUCCCCGAUGGUAACCCGAAGUUUGUUUUUUUUUUGUUUUGUCUCCCCGUUUUAGAAGCAUUGGGGGCAGUGAAUCCACUGUCUCCCUCUGGAUUGUCUCUGCAGAGACCGAGAAGAAAUCCAGGGACAGCCCCACCCCUCCUUCCUAACUGCGAGAGCGCUAUAGGGUUUCCACUUGCUUCCCACAGGAAUGCUGGCCUGGGAGCUACGGCGGAAAAAAAUGCGUAUUUAUCUUUUAAAACUCCGUCUGUUUGCUCGUUCCGGCUGAUAAUUUAUACUUUGCGCAGUUCUUAGCGCUUAGACACGGUUCCUUUACUAAAGACCAUUUGUAGGAGAUUAGGUGUCCUUUUUUUCCCUUUCAUUUCACCGUCUAGGAAGCGAAAUGCCUUGUUCUAUAGGCACCAAACCACCACCCCUACCAAACCUUUCUCGGGGAAGCAGAAGGGGAACUUGUGCCUUGUGAGGAAGCGACAAAGGCCCCUUCUGGCCCUGGAGACUUCACGCCAAUGGAGCACCAGCUCUCUGUCCUCGCAAUAGCCCGAGUGCAGGCAGAACGCAGUCAUUUGUGUUUAUCUGAGAGGAGCUUUGGGAUAUAAAUAGUUUCAGGCCCCGCUGCUCUGUCAUUCCAGCCCAGCCUCCUGAUUGAGCUGCUUCCGGGCGGGCUUGCUUCUUGUUGGCGGUCCCAUGCUGUGUUCAGAUGGGCUCUGUGACAGGUUUGGAUGUUUUCUAUCACUGAAUAAAACUUUCCACUUUGGAACAU